RNAcentral lists this ribosomal RNA (475 nucleotides) under uncultured organism. RNAcentral's name for it is "partial 16S ribosomal RNA". It matches the Rfam family "Bacterial small subunit ribosomal RNA", at positions 330 to 797 of the family's 1533-position model. The record is from RNAcentral.
CGUACACUCCUGCGGGAGGCAGCAGUGGGGAAUUUUGGACAAUGGGCGAAAGCCUGAUCCAGCCAUGCCGCGUGCAGGAUGAAGGCCUUCGGGUUGUAAACUGCUUUUGUACGGAACGAAACGGCCUUUUCUAAUAAAGAGGGCUAAUGACGGUACCGUAAGAAUAAGCACCGGCUAACUACGUGCCAGCAGCCGCGGUAAUACGUAGGGUGCAAGCGUUAAUCGGAAUUACUGGGCGUAAAGCGUGCGCAGGCGGUUAUGUAAGACAGUUGUGAAAUCCCCGGGCUCAACCUGGGAACUGCAUCUGUGACUGCAUAGCUAGAGUACGGUAGAGGGGGAUGGAAUUCCGCGUGUAGCAGUGAAAUGCGUAGAUAUGCGGAGGAACACCGAUGGCGAAGGCAAUCCCCUGGACCUGUACUGACGCUCAUGCACGAAAGCGUGGGGAGCAAACAGGAUUAGAAACCCCUGUAGUCCC